This 489-nucleotide ribosomal RNA is filed under the name uncultured bacterium. Its description in RNAcentral is "partial 16S ribosomal RNA". It matches the Rfam family "Bacterial small subunit ribosomal RNA", at positions 30 to 506 of the family's 1533-position model. The record is from RNAcentral.
AUUGAACGCUGGCGGCAGGCCUAACACAUGCAAGUCGAACGGUAACAGGAAACAGCUUGCUGUUUCGCUGACGAGUGGCGGACGGGUGAGUAAUGUCUGGGAAACUGCCUGAUGGAGGGGGAUAACUACUGGAAACGGUAGCUAAUACCGCAUAACGUCGCAAGACCAAAGAGGGGGACCUUCGGGCCUCUUGCCAUCGGAUGUGCCCAGAUGGGAUUAGCUAGCAGGUGGGGUAACGGCUCACCUAGGCGACGAUCCCUAGCUGGUCUGAGAGGAUGACCAGCCACACUGGAACUGAGACACGGUCCAGACUCCUACGGGAGGCAGCAGUGGGGAAUAUUGCACAAUGGGCGCAAGCCUGAUGCAGCCAUGCCGCGUGUAUGAAGAAGGCCUUCGGGUUGUAAAGUACUUUCAGCGGGGAGGAAGGGAGUAAAGUUAAUACCUUUGCUCAUUGACGUUACCCGCAGAAGAAGCACCGGCUAACUCCGU